RNAcentral lists this long non-coding RNA (681 nucleotides) under Vigna radiata. Its description in RNAcentral is "long non-coding RNA (VRAD_LNC004715)". Lineage: Eukaryota; Viridiplantae; Streptophyta; Magnoliopsida; Fabales; Fabaceae. The record is from RNAcentral.
UCUCUCGGCAGAUUCAAGAGAGCUAGAACGUGGUUUUUGGGCAGAGGUUUUUGGCAUUGAACAUUUUCUGAAAGAGCUAUUCUUUUCUUUACUUGAACUAUGUUUAUUCUAUUGGAUUUUGGGUGAUUGUGAAAUGCAUGUCCAGUCGUCACAUUGCAAUUCAUUUUCAUUCUCUCGGCUGGAAUGUUUCCCACUUUUUUUUUUCUUUGAAAGCAUGUUCAUUUUUUUAUUCUGGAUGAAUGAUUAAGCAAAGCACUUUUCCUCUUCAUUUUUUUCUGUUAGCGUAGCAUCUUCUUUUAUCUUAUUUUCAUUGAAUUAAAAUAGCGCAGCAUUGUAUGUGAAGCAUGGAGAAACACAUUGAUUUCUUUUGUUGCAGCCCACGGUCACGUCAACCAAAAAUUGAGGAGCAGAUUUUGAUUUUUAUUGGGUAGAAUGAAAGGGCUGCUGCAACGUUUUAUUUAAACCAUGAUGAUGCUAUGGAUGUUGGGUGAUUUUGGUUGAAUAAAGAUAUUUGGAGAAGCACCGUUAACUUUCUUUUAGACAAAAGCUUUUAUUCUACUUUAGCCGGAGGUGCAUAAAUGUGGUUAGAGGUAUCACGGCAUGUAGAAAUUUCCUUUUAGAUAAUGCGUUUAUUUUGCUAGGAUAAAAAUAUCAUUGAUUGCUAUUUCAAUUAGAAAGAAA